Molecule: ribosomal RNA, 468 nt
Filed under: uncultured bacterium
Lineage: Bacteria
Description: partial 16S ribosomal RNA
Rfam family: Bacterial small subunit ribosomal RNA
Source: RNAcentral
GACGAACGCUGGCGGCGGGCUUAACACAUGCAAGUCGAACGGAAAGGCCCUGCUUUUGUGGGGUGCUCGAGUGGCGAACGGGUGAGUAACACGUGAGUAACCUGCCCUUGACUUUGGGAUAACUUCAGGAAGCUGGGGCUAAUACCGGAUAGGAGCUCCUGCUGCGUGGUGGGCGUUGGAAAUUCUCGGCGGUUGGGGAUGGACUCGCGGCUUAUCAGCUUGUUGGUUGGCGAGUGGCUGACCAAGGCUUUGACGGGUAGCCGGCCUGAGAGGGUGACCGGCCACAUUGGGACUGAGAUACGGCCCAGACUGCUACGGGAGGCAGUAGGGGGGAAUAUUGUACAAUGGGCGGAAGCCUGAUGCAGCAACGCCGCGUGCGGGAUGACGGCCUUCGGGUUGUAAACCGCUUUCGCCUGUGACGAAGCGUGAGUGACGGUAAUGGGUAAAGAAGCACCGGCUAACUACGUG